AGCUUUGCCCAGUGGUAAUAUCAUAACCAGUGAGAUUUUUGUGCGAUUAUUGCUAACUGAAAACUUUUCCUAAUAUCCGCUGUGACGACUUGAAAUACAGCCAGCAUUGGCAAUUUUGGAGAGUCUCUAUGGAGA
This 135-nucleotide small nuclear RNA is filed under the name Colobus angolensis palliatus. Its description in RNAcentral is "U4 spliceosomal RNA (ENSCANG00000012234.1)". It matches the Rfam family "U4 spliceosomal RNA". From Rfam's summary of the family: U4 small nuclear RNA (U4 snRNA) is a component of the major U2-dependent spliceosome. The structure of U4 snRNA from yeast and human has been reported. Lineage: Eukaryota; Metazoa; Chordata; Mammalia; Primates; Cercopithecidae. The record is from Rfam by way of RNAcentral.